RNAcentral lists this ribosomal RNA (759 nucleotides) under uncultured fungus. RNAcentral's name for it is "eukaryotic LSU rRNA". The stretch from base 258 to 412 matches the Rfam family "5.8S ribosomal RNA". Lineage: Eukaryota; Fungi. The record is from RNAcentral.
AAGUCGUAACAAGGUUUCCGUAGGUGAACCUGCGGAAGGAUCAUUAAUGCUAAGCAUGAGCAGAGCUCUCUGCGAAUGCGUUGCCUCUUCCAAAACUCUCGAAACUUUUUGGCUGUGCCUGAAAGUUUCGACGUCACAAGUAACCUGAGGACGUUUCUCUUUGAGAGAUGUUCCUCUACCCAUUUUUAACCAUCAUUACCUACUUUAAACUCUUUAGACUGAUAUGAACAAACAUUUAUUCUUGUAAAUGUGAAAACAACUCUUAGCAAUGGAUAUCUAGGCUCUCGCAACGAUGAAGAACGCAGCGAAAUGCGAUACGUAAUGCGAAUUGCAGAAUUCAGUGAAUCAUCGAAUCUUUGAACGCAACUUGCGCUCCCGGGAUAUGCCUGGGAGCAUGCUUUCUUGAGCGUCGGUUCUAUCAUCAUCUCACUGACCUUUUGGAUUAGUGGAAAAUGAGUUUCCAAAAAGCUUAGGCCUUUUGGAGGCUUGAAAUCAUUGAUUGGGGCAUCUCUUAGCGAAUCGACUUUGAGUCGCAUGAAUGCUCUGUGACGUGGAUAAUUUCACCUUCUUGGGUGUAUCCUUUACGUUGUGGAGUAGCGUACUUGAAGUGGGUCUGCGUUCCCUUUUUUCAAAGGGGGACGAGAUGACUCAUAAGCGAGUAAGGUGUGAAUCCUCUUUUGGUUUUUGCACUCUUAUUCAACGUUUCCAUCCUUCUGGAUAUUUAGACCUCAAGUAAAGUAAGAGUACCCGCUGACUUAA